GGACGGUUAGCUCAGCGGUAGAGCAUCGCCUUCACACGGCGGGGGCCACAGGUUCGAUCCCUGUACCGUCCACCA
RNAcentral lists this transfer RNA (75 nucleotides) under Nevskia sp. RNAcentral's name for it is "tRNA-Val". It matches the Rfam family "tRNA". Rfam says of the family: Transfer RNA (tRNA) molecules are approximately 80 nucleotides in length. Their secondary structure includes four short double-helical elements and three loops (D, anti-codon, and T loops). Further hydrogen bonds mediate the characteristic L-shaped molecular structure. tRNAs have two regions of fundamental functional importance: the anti-codon, which is responsible for specific mRNA codon recognition, and the 3' end, to which the tRNAs corresponding amino acid is attached (by aminoacyl-tRNA synthetases). tRNAs cope with the degeneracy of the genetic code in two manners: having more than one tRNA (with a specific anti-codon) for a particular amino acid; and 'wobble' base-pairing, i.e. permitting non-standard base-pairing at the 3rd anti-codon position. Lineage: Bacteria; Pseudomonadati; Pseudomonadota; Gammaproteobacteria; Nevskiales; Nevskiaceae. The record is from RNAcentral. RNAcentral also lists the same sequence under 2 other names.